RNAcentral lists this ribosomal RNA (253 nucleotides) under uncultured bacterium. RNAcentral's name for it is "partial 16S ribosomal RNA". It matches the Rfam family "Bacterial small subunit ribosomal RNA", at positions 524 to 776 of the family's 1533-position model. The record is from RNAcentral.
UACAGAGGUCCCAAGCGUUGUUCGGAUUCACUGGGCGUAAAGGGCGCGUAGGCGGCUUGCACAGUCAGGCGUGAAAUUCCUGGGCUCAACCUGGGGACUGCGCUUGAGACGUGUGGGCUUGAGUGGGGAAGAGGGUCGUGGAAUUCCCAGUGUAGAGGUGAAAUUCGUAGAUAUUGGGAAGAACACCGGUGGCGAAGGCGGCGACCUGGUCCUUGACUGACGCUGAGGCGCGAAAGCGUGGGGAGCAAACAGG